ACAGCCACAUCAUGUAGAAAUGCUAGUUCCUGUAUGAUUACUGAAAUUAAGCAUUGUCAAGCCUGGUCAGUACCUAGAUGGGUGACCACUUGGAAAUACCAGGCGCUGUAAG
Acanthosepion pharaonis is the source of this 112-nucleotide non-coding RNA. Lineage: Eukaryota; Metazoa; Mollusca; Cephalopoda; Sepiida; Sepiidae. The record is from the annotation of a GenBank genome assembly.